This 583-nucleotide ribosomal RNA is filed under the name Pseudoalteromonas distincta. RNAcentral's name for it is "bacterial SSU rRNA". It matches the Rfam family "Bacterial small subunit ribosomal RNA", at positions 1 to 578 of the family's 1533-position model. Lineage: Bacteria; Pseudomonadati; Pseudomonadota; Gammaproteobacteria; Alteromonadales; Pseudoalteromonadaceae. The record is from RNAcentral.
UUAAUUGAAGAGUUUGAUCAUGGCUCAGAUUGAACGCUGGCGGCAGGCCUAACACAUGCAAGUCGAGCGGUAACAGAAAGUAGCUUGCUACUUUGCUGACGAGCGGCGGACGGGUGAGUAAUGCUUGGGAACAUGCCUUGAGGUGGGGGACAACAGUUGGAAACGACUGCUAAUACCGCAUAAUGUCUACGGACCAAAGGGGGCUUCGGCUCUCGCCUUUAGAUUGGCCCAAGUGGGAUUAGCUAGUUGGUGAGGUAAUGGCUCACCAAGGCGACGAUCCCUAGCUGGUUUGAGAGGAUGAUCAGCCACACUGGGACUGAGACACGGCCCAGACUCCUACGGGAGGCAGCAGUGGGGAAUAUUGCACAAUGGGCGCAAGCCUGAUGCAGCCAUGCCGCGUGUGUGAAGAAGGCCUUCGGGUUGUAAAGCACUUUCAGUCAGGAGGAAAGGUUAACGGUUAAUACCCGUUAGCUGUGACGUUACUGACAGAAGAAGCACCGGCUAACUCCGUGCCAGCAGCCGCGGUAAUACGGAGGGUGCGAGCGUUAAUCGGAAUUACUGGGCGUAAAGCGUACGCAGGCGG